AAAAGGUUCAAAAUUAAAUUAUGUUCAUGUAUUAUACUGUGAUUACUAUUAUAAUGUAAAAAGUUAUUGAUUCUGAUGUCUUUUUUUAUUCAACAAUAAAUGACACUAAAAUGUGUUUAAAAGAAUUGUGUUAAUAUCUGCUUAUUUGACUAGAAAUAUUGUUAAAAAACCGCCAUUAAACAAAAAAUAUAAAUAUAUUUAAAUAUUUUCAUGUUGCAAUGCUCAAUAAAAUUUUACCCCAACUGCUUAUGUAGUUUAAUUUAAAAUAUAAGCCACUGAGUUACUAAGUGAUUUAAAUAUGUACUUAAUAGAUUAUUAUGAAAUUAAUACACAACAAAAAAAAGUUAUCGUUAACUUGGCUGUAAACUUUAAUGUUAAUUAUUUAUGUUAAUUAAAUUUUGUAAAAUAAAUUUUUGACAGAAAUAGUAAAAAUUUAUGUGUAUUACUGUAUUAGAAAUGAUUUGAGAAAAAAAUUACUAAAUGUGUAUGUAUCUUAUACCUUACGAUAUUAAAGUUAUAAAUCAUACUACAGUGGAUUUUGUUUAUAAGAUUCAUUGAUAUAAGGUUCAGUCAGA
Non-coding RNA from Cinara cedri, 575 nucleotides. The record is from the annotation of a GenBank genome assembly. Lineage: Eukaryota; Metazoa; Arthropoda; Insecta; Hemiptera; Aphididae.